UGCAAGUCGAGCGAAUGACGAGAAGCUUGCUUCUCUGAUUUAGCGGCGGACGGGUGAGUAACACGUGGGCAACCUGCCCUACAGAUCGGGAUAACUCAGGGAAACCUGGGCUAAUACCGGAUAAUCCUUCGAAUCACAUGUUUUGAAGUUGAAAGGCGCUUCGGCGUCACUGUAGGAUGGGCCCGCGGUGCAUUAGCUAGUUGGUGGGGUAACGGCCUACCAAGGCAACGAUGCAUAGCCGACCUGAGAGGGUGAUCGGCCACAUUGGGACUGAGACACGGCCCAAACUCCUACGGGAGGCAGCAGUAGGGAAUCUUCCACAAUGGACGAAAGUCUGAUGGAGCAACGCCGCGUGAGUGAUGAAGGUUUUCGGAUCGUAAAACUCUGUUGUAAGGGAAGAACAAGUACGUUAGGAAAUGAACGUACCUUGACGGUACCUUAUUAGAAAGCCACGGCUAACUACGUGCCAGCAGCCGCGGUAAUACGUAGGUGGCAAGCGUUGUCCGGAUUUAUUGGGCGUAAAGCGCGCGCAGGUGGUUUCUUAAGUCUGAUGUGAAAGCCCACGGCUCAACCGUGGAGGGUCAUUGGAAACUGGGGAACUUGAGUGCAGAAGAGGAUAGUGGAAUUCCAAGUGUAGCGGUGAAAUGCGUAGAGAUUUGGAGGAACACCAGUGGCGAAGGCGACUGUCUGGUCUGUAACUGACACUGAGGCGCGAAAGCGUGGGGAGCAAACAGGAUUAGAUACCCUGGUAGUCCACGCCGUAAACGAUGAGUGCUAAGUGUUAGGGGGGUUUCCGCCCCUUAGUGCUGCAGCUAACGCAUUAAGCACUCCGCCUGGGGAGUACGACCGCAAGGUUGAAACUCAAAGGAAUUGACGGGGGCCCGCACAAGCGGUGGAGCAUGUGGUUUAAUUCGAAGCAACGCGAAGAACCUUACCAGUCUUGACAUCCCAAUGACCGUCCUAGAGAUAGAUUUUCCCUUCGGGGACAUUGGUGACAGGUGGUGCAUGGUUGUCGUCAGCUCGUGUCGUGAGAUGUUGGGUUAAGUCCCGCAACGAGCGCAACCCUUAUUCUUAGUUGCCAUCAUUUAGUUGGGCACUCUAAGGAGACUGCCGGUGACAAACCGGAGGAAGGUGGGGAUGACGUCAAAUCAU
Molecule: ribosomal RNA, 1152 nt
Filed under: Kurthia gibsonii
Lineage: Bacteria; Bacillati; Bacillota; Bacilli; Caryophanales; Caryophanaceae
Description: bacterial SSU rRNA
Rfam family: Bacterial small subunit ribosomal RNA
Source: RNAcentral